Molecule: long non-coding RNA, 904 nt
Filed under: Citrus x clementina
Lineage: Eukaryota; Viridiplantae; Streptophyta; Magnoliopsida; Sapindales; Rutaceae
Description: Citrus clementina (C. clementina) long non-coding RNA (CCLE_LNC002211)
Source: RNAcentral
GCCCCGCGGUCCCCCCCGGGGCAUGAACCGCCCCCCGGCGGACCGAAACCGGCCAAACCGGCAAAACCGCCCCGAUCAUGCCCGUUUUUCGGCGUUCAAACCGCCGCGCGGCUACCCCCCCAUCCCGAUGCCCCCGGACCCCUGGUCCCGUGGGACCUGACGGAAACGGAAUCGGAUGCCCGGAUCAUGAGAUACGCCCAAAACCGUCUAAACCUACUGAGCGCACCCCGAACAUGCCCAUUUUUCGGCGUUCAAACCGCCGCGCGGCUACCCCCCCAUCCCGAUGCCCCCGGAACCCUGGUCCCGCGGGACCCGACGGAAACGGAAUCGGAGGCCCGGAUCAUGAGUUACGGCCCCUUCUUUGCGGCCCCCGAGGACGUGCGCUAUAGCCCCCCGGGCCACCCCCCAUCCGGCCGCACCCGCCCGAACCCCACCGAACGCGUCCGCCGCCUCCCGAUCCCGCCCCGCGGUCCCCCCCGGGGCAUGAACCGCCCCCCGGCGGGCCGAAACCGGCCAAACCGGCAAAACCGCCCCGAUCAUGCCCGUUUUUCGGCGUUCAAACCGCCGCGCGGCUACCCCCCCAUCCCGAUGCCCCCGGACCCCUGGUCCCGUGGGACCUGACGGAAACGGAAUCGGAUGCUCGGAUCAUGAGAUACGCCCAAAACCGUCUAAACCUACUCAGCGCUCCCCGAACAUGCCCAUUUUUCGGCGUUCAAACCGCCGCGCGGCUACCCCCCCAUCCCGAUGCCCCCGGAACCCUGGUCCCGCGGGACCCGACGGAAACGGAAUCGGAGGCCCGGAUCAUGAGUUACGGCCCAGUCUUUGCGGCCCCCGAGGACGUACGCUAUAGCCCCCCGGGCCACCCCCCAUCCGGCCGCACCCGCCCGAACCCCACCGAACGCGU